AAUUGGCAAAAUCGCGGGAAAAAGAAGAAAAAAUAAAACUCCAAAAUGAGAAGAAGCUGGACUUCUUGCCAAACGCUGGCAUGCAGUCUGAUCGCCUUUCAUUUUUGUUUUUUGCCAUGAUUUUUUCAUCACUUCUGCGGGCCACACUCUCAUUCAUCUAUUAAGACGCUGAGACAAGGCGACCUUUUUUGUAUUGAAGAUGUGAUUUUUAUCAGGAAUGCCACGGUCAGCCACAGAAGGUCCUUAGUGCGAGCAGAGCCAUGGGAAAAGCAUCAAACUAGAUCCCGGGUUGAGAGGGUGCGGUCCAGUCCGGCUUCUGCAGACGUGUCGAGAUGAAAACGCGCCAUGUCGGACCGCAACGACAUACAGUAGAUCCAGACGGUAACCAUCAAGUAUGACACGU
Solea solea (common sole) is the source of this 403-nucleotide long non-coding RNA. RefSeq lists it as uncharacterized. Lineage: Eukaryota; Metazoa; Chordata; Actinopteri; Pleuronectiformes; Soleidae. The transcript is spliced from 4 exons. The record is from RefSeq and is a predicted model, not a curated record.